GCUAGGCGCAGUGGCUCAUGCCUGUAAUUCCAGCGGCUUGGGAGGCUGAGGUAGGAGGAUCAGAAGUUCAUGGCCAGCUUCAGCAACUUAGUGAGGCCCUAAGAAACUUAGUGAGACCCUGUCUUUA
RNAcentral lists this small RNA (127 nucleotides) under Marmota monax (woodchuck). Lineage: Eukaryota; Metazoa; Chordata; Mammalia; Rodentia; Sciuridae. The record is from RNAcentral.